CUUUGCGUCAGAGCUCUGUGUUACAAAAAAAGGUGAAGUCUUACUCAAUUCAACAGUUUUUAUGCAAAGUCCUCACGGGGAAGAGACUGAUGCCCUGCAAUGCCUCAGGACUCUCCAGAAUGUUUUCACCAGCAAAAAGGCCCUCAGCAGAUGCAGCCUCUCGACCUUGAACUUUCUAGCCUCCAAAAUGGACUAUCGGUACUGAAACCCAGCAAGCUGAAAUCAGCAAAACAAGAUGGUCUUGCUAACUUGAGGAAGCUGUAGCAGCUGGAAGCUCCAGAGAGGAGGGGGCUCAGAGUCUGCACAUCAAUGGGGAGACAUCAUUCUGGCUGCAUUAUGAAUGGAUGGUUUGGAGGAAGAAUGUGGAUAGCUAAACAAGAAGGAGAAUAGAAAGAAACUACUCUUAAGACUAUUGCAAUAUCCAGUGUUAUCUCAGGACCAAGGAAUUAAUGGUGCAAUGUGCUUUGUUUCUGACUGCAGACUAUAAUGUUUAUUCCUAUUGGGGGCAGAGCAAGAUUUCAGUUUCUUUUCUCAGCAACAAGAAAAUACUCUGUCUGAAAUCAAGCAACUUCUGGGAAGACCAAGAGUGAUGGAAACUAGAGUUACAAAGCAAAAACCCUACAUCCUGAAUGCCCAGCCCGGUCAAUGAAAUUUUUCUGUCUCAUUUAUCAGCUAACUUGGUCCUCUUCCCCUGGGAACAAAACUGAGAAGGGUUAAGAGAUAAUGUGGAAACAAACUCCCCAGCACUUGCCUAAGAGGGCAGCUGUGUACCCAGACCUUCUUUCCUCUAUGUCAUUGUACUAGAAAGAGAGAGUUCCAUACUCUUUAAUCUGAAUAGUUGGCACUCACUUAAAAAAGAAUGCAGCCUGAUUCCUCUCUGCCCCUCUAGCUAUUUCCAGAAAGUUGUUCAUGGGAUGAAUUGAAAGCCAACAAAGGGAGUUGUUAGUACAUAUUUCCAGGAAUGAAGUUGUCUGGAUGCAGCUAAUGCCUCCAUAGAACUGACAGUGCUGAAUUUACGAAAUGGAAAGAGUUCUGGAAAAGCAAGAAAAAAAGUCUUGUUUGAAACCCCACGUCUACUGUAGGCACAGAAGGGAAUGGAGGCAUCUGAGCAUUUUAUUUUCCAUCUCUACAGCACCUCAGAACACCUACAUUUUAUUUUUUUUCUUCUCAGAAAUGUCUUAAUAAGAGGACUGCAGUGUACUCAAGUUUCCCAAUGACAGGGUAGGGAUGCCAACCUUCUCUUUCAUUGGCAGCUCAUAGUAUCCAAGUUUCUCAAAACCCUAAGCCAUCUUAUUUGUUCUUUGGAACUUUGUGGCCUACCACAGUGCAAUUCUCAUUCGGUGUUUAAUAAAAUAUUUGUUAGCUCUUUUCUAAUUGAGAAGGUUCUGUUCUUUUCGCCUCAAGAAAUCACUUAGAAUACAAAUAGCAGUGCACAAUAAUUAGAUUUCAUUGAAUGUAAUUGAUUUGAAUGUUCAUGAAACAGUGCCUCCAGUAUGUUUUGUUUCACUUAAACUUUGAUGACACUUGAGAAGUUGCCUUGCCUUACCUAUCUGCCACCCCACCACUCCUCAGCAUCCGAUAGGCUGCUGUUCCUGUGCCAUCACUGUUGUUUGUCUGAAAGCCUUUUAAUUCGCUGUGGGUGAAGUUGAAUAGGAG
Molecule: long non-coding RNA, 1656 nt
Filed under: Homo sapiens (human)
Lineage: Eukaryota; Metazoa; Chordata; Mammalia; Primates; Hominidae
Description: non-protein coding lnc-OXCT1-1:1
Source: RNAcentral